UACGAAGGGGGCUAGCGUUGCUCGGAAUCACUGGGCGUAAAGGGUGCGUAGGCGGGUCUUUAAGUCAGGGGUGAAAUCCUGGAGCUCAACUCCAGAACUGCCUUUGAUACUGAAGAUCUUGAGUUCGGGAGAGGUGAGUGGAACUGCGAGUGUAGAGGUGAAAUUCGUAGAUAUUACGCAAGAACACCAGUGGCGAAGGCGGACUCACUGGCCCGAUACUGACGCUGAGGCAGAACG
RNAcentral lists this ribosomal RNA (237 nucleotides) under uncultured bacterium. RNAcentral describes it as "partial 16S ribosomal RNA". It matches the Rfam family "Bacterial small subunit ribosomal RNA", at positions 524 to 759 of the family's 1533-position model. The record is from RNAcentral.